GCCCAAUGAUGAGACCAAGGCGAAUACGAGCCGACUGAAUGAGAGUUGGGUUGCUCUUUGCCUUGACUGGCAGGUAAUCUUGGCAGUGCAGAGGAGCGUUCCUGCUCUGCUGUAAGGGCCUGCCUACAGUGACUUGGCUCACCCAAAUUAUUCCUCUACAGUCACAGCGGAGUAAUUACUCGGAUGAAGCUGACAGUGUGUUUUGUGUGUGUGUGAGAGUGAGAGAGUGUGUGUCUGUGUGUGUAAAAGACAAGGAGUUUACCCAUCUCUCUUUGCUGUUCAGUUAGCAAUGAGUUGCUUCUUUGGUAAUCUGAGGGCA
This is a small nucleolar RNA of Centropristis striata (black sea bass), 319 nucleotides long. The record is from RefSeq and is a predicted model, not a curated record. Lineage: Eukaryota; Metazoa; Chordata; Actinopteri; Perciformes; Serranidae.